Molecule: ribosomal RNA, 253 nt
Filed under: uncultured bacterium
Lineage: Bacteria
Description: partial 16S ribosomal RNA
Rfam family: Bacterial small subunit ribosomal RNA
Source: RNAcentral
UACGAAGGGGGCUAGCGUUGCUCGGAAUUACUGGGCGUGAAGCGCACGUAGGCGGCUUUCUAAGUCGGGGGUGAAAUCCUGGAGCUCAACUCCAGAACUGCCUUCGAUACUGGAAAGCUCGAGUCCGGGAGAGGUGAGUGGAACUGCGAGUGUAGAGGUGAAAUUCGUAGAUAUUCGCAAGAACACCAGUGGCGAAGGCGGCUCACUGGCCCGGUACUGACGCUGAGGUGCGAAAGCGUGGGGAGCAAACAGG